GGGAGGCGGCAGCUACACAUGCAGUCGAGCGGUAACAGAUCCAGCUUGCUGGAUGCUGACGAGCGGCGGACGGGUGAGUAAUGCAUAGGAAUCUGCCCGAUAGUGGGGGAUAACCUGGGGAAACCCAGGCUAAUACCGCAUACGUCCUACGGGAGAAAGGGGGCUUCGGCUCCCGCUAUCGGAUGAGCCUAUGUCGGAUUAGCUAGUUGGUGAGGUAACGGCUCACCAAGGCCACGAUCCGUAGCUGGUCUGAGAGGAUGAUCAGCCACAUCGGGACUGAGACACGGCCCGAACUCCUACGGGAGGCAGCAGUGGGGAAUAUUGGACAAUGGGGGGAACCCUGAUCCAGCCAUGCCGCGUGUGUGAAGAAGGCCCUCGGGUUGUAAAGCACUUUCAGCGAGGAAGAACGCCUAGCGGUUAAUACCCGCUAGGAAAGACAUCACUCGCAGAAGAAGCACCGGCUAACUCCGUGCCAGCAGCCGCGGUAAUACGGAGGGUGCAAGCGUUAAUCGGAAUUACUGGGCGUAAAGCGCGCGUAGGUGGCUUGAUAAGCCGGUUGUGAAAGCCCCGGGCUCAACCUGGGAACGGCAUCCGGAACUGUCAAGCUAGAGUGCAGGAGAGGAAGGUAGAAUUCCCGGUGUAGCGGUGAAAUGCGUAGAGAUCGGGAGGAAUACCAGUGGCGAAGGCGGCCUUCUGGACUGACACUGACACUGAGGUGCGAAAGCGUGGGUAGCAAACAGGAUUAGUCCCCU
RNAcentral lists this ribosomal RNA (752 nucleotides) under Vreelandella aquamarina. RNAcentral describes it as "bacterial SSU rRNA". It matches the Rfam family "Bacterial small subunit ribosomal RNA", at positions 37 to 788 of the family's 1533-position model. Lineage: Bacteria; Pseudomonadati; Pseudomonadota; Gammaproteobacteria; Oceanospirillales; Halomonadaceae. The record is from RNAcentral.